This 429-nucleotide ribosomal RNA is filed under the name Heterotermes sp. ALS-2003b. RNAcentral describes it as "partial 16S ribosomal RNA". The record is from RNAcentral. Lineage: Eukaryota; Metazoa; Arthropoda; Insecta; Blattodea; Rhinotermitidae.
UUACGCUGUUAUCCCUAAGGUAAUUUAAUCUUAUAAUCAAAAUCAAUGGAUCAAGCAACUACAANUCAAUAUAACGAAAAUGAAGAGGAGUUAAAUUAUAUCCCUCUCNUCGCCCCAACAAAACNUAAUAGGCCCACUUAANUAAACAAAACAAACAAUAAACAAAAAUAGACCAAAUGUNAAAUUCUAUAGGGUCUUCUCGUCCCACAAAAACAUCUAAGAAUUUUAACUCAAAAACCAAAUUCAAUAAAACAUUCAUAAUUUAAGACAGCUCGCAUCUCGUCAAGCCAUUCAUUCCAGAUCACAAUUAAAGAACUAAUGAUUAUGCUACCUUUGCACGGUCAAAAUACCGCGGCCCUUCAACACUCAGUGAGCGGGCAGGCCAUACUUCAAAAACUAACAAGAAAAGAUGUUUUUGAUAAACAGGCG